UACGAAGGGUGCUAGCGUUGUUCGGAAUCACUGGGCGUAAAGCGCACGUAGGCGGAUGUGUCAGUCAGGGGUGAAAUCCCGGAGCUCAACUUCGGAACUGCCUCUGAUACAGCACGUCUUGAGUCCGGAAGAGGUGGGUGGAAUUCCUAGUGUAGAGGUGAAAUUCGUAGAUAUUAGGAAGAACACCGGUGGCGAAGGCGGCCCACUGGUCCGGUACUGACGCUGAGGUGCGAAAGCGUGGGGAGCAAACAGG
RNAcentral lists this ribosomal RNA (253 nucleotides) under uncultured bacterium. Its description in RNAcentral is "partial 16S ribosomal RNA". It matches the Rfam family "Bacterial small subunit ribosomal RNA", at positions 524 to 776 of the family's 1533-position model. The record is from RNAcentral.